Lycium barbarum (goji berry) is the source of this 2529-nucleotide long non-coding RNA. RefSeq lists it as uncharacterized. The record is from RefSeq and is a predicted model, not a curated record. The transcript has 5 exons. NCBI's taxonomy places the organism in Eukaryota, Viridiplantae, Streptophyta, Magnoliopsida, Solanales, Solanaceae.
ACCUUUUAAGGACGGACAUAUACGUAUACGUGUAAUUUCAGGUAGUAGAAGUGCAGAUCUGGACCUUUUCCGUAAACAAAAAUCUGAAAAUCCAAAUCCCAGGAUGUGAGAAGUCUCAGGUCCAAAUGUAGCAAUUCCCUCUCCAGUGACAAAGCGGAACUACAAAUUGAAGUGAGAAAUCGACUAGCACCGUCGUAAGGAAAUUUUUUUCUCUCAUCAAAAUUCUCGAUGUUAUGUAAAUACAUAAUUUAAUUUUAUCGAUAAUGUCCUUUUCUUUUACUUUUUUCGUUACUCGAAUGUGUCUUAUAAUAUAAGCUCUUCUUAGAAUGAAACUUAGGUUCUACAUUGAUUGGAUAUUUUUCUGAAAAUUGAGCUGGUAAAAUAUACUCCCUCGGAAUAAAAAAAAAAAGAGCGUCCACUUAAUAAUUUACUAACAAUUUACAAAAAAACCCCCACCCCACCCCACCCCCAUAUUAACUCCGAGUUAAUUUGACUAAAUUACCUCAGGGAAAUCAACACCUUUUGUUUCUUCUUCAGAAUAUUUUGGAUAUAGAUUUUUAGUUGAUCAGUAGUGUUAAAUGAUAGAAGGGUGUGUGCGUGGAGGAUUGGAUAAUGUCUACUUUAUACAUUACUGCAUUUACAAAAGUUGAGAAUAUAAAGAAUGAUCUGCUUAUAUGCUGCAUUUUUUUUUUUUUUUUUUGAGGAAAGAUUGAUUCUAUUUUCUUGUUAACUUUUCACAUUGUAGGUACAACAUUUGAUUCACCCUAGUUGAUAAUUCUCAAUGAGUUUAGCAGGAAAAUUUGUGGUUUGGCUCAUUUUUUGGUCACAUAUUUACUCAGUUAUAGUUUAGGUGCCAUAUUUUCUUCACUGCCGUAUUUCCUUUUUCAUAACUACUUUGAUUUGCUGCAUUUGAGCUUUGAGUCUUUCAAAAACAGACUCUCCACCUCCACGAGUUAGGGUAAGACACUCUACCCUUUCUAGACCCCACUUGUGGGAUUAGACUGGGUAUGUUGUUGUUGUAGUAGUAUUUGCUCAAUUAUAGUCAUAUUUAACUCUGGUUAAUUGGUUUUGAAACAAAACUUUGGCAACCAUCUAUUUAUUUUUCUUGGUCGCAUCGAUAAUAACAAUUAUGCAUGUAAACUUCUAAUUCCUCUACUGGAUUAAUAUCAUUUGAGGCGUUUUCAUUGUGCAAGCUGGCUGUUAGGAAUGAGAAGGAUCUGGAAAGUUUAAAUGUGUCACCUAAUACCGGAGCAUGAACUCUUUCUGGUAGUAUUACUCAGGAGAGGAAUGGUACCUUUCCAACUAUGUUCAAUGGAGGAAACCAUGAUACAUCUACAUCCAAUUACCUUUGAGAGCUGCUCCUUAUUGAAGUGAAGAUAUUCCCAUAGAAGAUGCAGAUGAUACGAAGGAACUCAAAGAGGGUGAUCUGCAGAAACUUAGAAGGGUUAAUAUAAAUCUCAUCUUUUGGAUAGGACUUCUUUGUACAUUUCCCUGACACCCUUCAUGACACUCAUGACUGGUUUCUUUUAUGGCCAAACACAAAGGGGAUUCAUAUGGAUUGAUGGUUGCCUCCAGAGGGACCAAGUUCAAUUCAUCUCUUUAACUUAGACUCUACUGCUGGCUUACCCAAUGGAUUCCAGAGAAGUAUAUAUCAUUCCCCGUAAGCAUAUUAUUAUAAUCGACAUUUUUUACUUCUACAUUUGUGUUUGAAAUAAUAAUUUGGUUGGCAUAAUCAACAUAUUUACUUCUACAUUAAUAUUGCGUUGGGCUCUAGAGGUUCUUUCAGCAUAUUUUGCUUCAUUUGUGAUAUUAUAGCUAGGGAUGUGGAAGGUGAUAAGUCUUGGAUUCAGGACAAAAGUUUUAUCAAGGGCCCUUUUUUAACCUAAUCGAAAGUUAGGAUGAAUCACACGUGGUAGAGAUAUGAAAUCUCUGCCUAUGACUGCAGGGGAUUUGCCUUCUGGGUCGAGCUCGUCGCACGAGGUUUGCCCAGUAAGGGUUAUCUCUCAUGUGUGGUUUACGAGCUAUUGCGCAGGAGCUGGGUUUACUCUGUGCACACCCGAAAGGUGGCAGCUGCGGGUUCCCAUGUCAUCAAAAAAAAAAAAAAUCUCUGAGCAAACUUACUUUCUAUAUAGAGUUUUUACCUUGUCGGAUGCUCCAUAAUUGCAGGUUGUGCCCAACACGUCUAAGUAAUGGCACGUCUACUGAUUGCUACAUUUACUGCUUAUAACUUAAAAAUUUAUUAUGUCAUGGAUGAUGGAUCUCACAGUCAACAAUUCUCCAACUUAGUUGCAGGUACUGCACGUUAGGCAGACAUGCUUAUCUUCCUUUAUCCUAAGCUGUUGAGCCAAUUAUGGUACGUGUUUUGAGCUAGACGGAGAUAUUUUAAAUGGUAAGACCGACUAUUAUGCUUAGUGAUGAGAUACAUCAAUGUGAACUUUUCAGAUGUAAUAACUCAUGAACAACUAACAAGUAUUUUGACUUAUGUUUCUGCCUGUAGUUAUCAAUUCAACAUCAUUUUUUCCUGUCCAA